GGCGAUCAAAACCCUCCUGCAUCCCAUGCUUCUAAUUUUCUCCUUUGGCUUAUCGACUGGGGAUUAGGGUUUAUCCAUAGCCUUUCAUAGCAGGGGACCAAUAUUUAAUUCAACUAAAUUUUGUUGCUUGUUGCUCUACUUUGAUCAGCUACCUGUUGAAAUCAACUCUUUAAUUAUUGAAAUGUUGGACGAGAGCAAGUUUGAUGUGCAUUUAAAGUUAUGGGCACUGAGAAUCCCUCGUGAAUUCUGCAAGGUUUCCACUCGCCUAUUAAACGGGUACUUGCUUGAUAAAGCUCGUGUUAAACCCAUUAAUGAAGAUCCUACUUGUGACAAGAAUCGUUAUAUGAUAUUGUCUGAAAGUGUUCAAAAUCCUGGUGAGAAAUUUUGGAUGGUUAGUGUUAAGAAACUACCAAUUGUGAAAUUAUUGUAAGACCCUUUUUAAUCCUCUUUCUCUGGUUAAUGUAUCCUAAAUGUCAGAUUUUUAUGUUAUGAUGAUAGUAUGAAGUUCUGAUAUGAGGAACUCCGAGGAAUAAAGGGUGGGAAUGUAAUCCAUUAAGUGACAGAAAUAUAGCUAGCUAGUUAGUUAGCUAGUUACAAGUUGUUAAGAGGUUACAUGAUCAUUUUUGUGAUCCAUGGGAGAAUAUAUAUGUAACCUGUUCUAGAAAUUGUUGAUAAAUAUCUGAAUCAGAAUUCCUUUCUUUCCUUUAUUUAUUUUUUCUGUCUUCUCUGAGUCUUGUUCCUCUCUUGUUAUCUAAUAAUCCUAAGUAUCAAGUUAUGAUUAAUGGUGCAAAGAGUUUUCUUCACUUUUAAUGGCAAUUUCUCUUUUGGAACAGAUUUGUCUGAUAUUCCAGCUGAAAAACUUGAUGAGCUGAGGAAAUUAUGCAAGAUUGAAGUAGUUCCAUAUUCUAUUACUCUUGGAUAUUCCUACUGGGGUGCAGGUUGGGGGCUGUGCUUUUCUAAUCAUACAUACAAGUAGUUACGAAAAUGUUAAAACCUUCUGAAAGUUGGCUGCUAUAUUCGCACCAACUGUUUUCUGACUCAUUUAUGCAACUGUCAAAUAAUUUUAUUCAGCAAUUAGUUUUGCGGGAAAAUUGCCAUGCACAUGAUUUCUCCUGGUGUUUAUUUUUAGCUUACCGAAGUUUCUAUCAACUUAUUUAAACAGCAAAGUCUAUAUCAGAUGCCCCUGGUCUUCUGUGUCAAUAUGCAAUGCCUCUGUGCUGAUUGUAAGAAUAAAAUAUAAAAUUUCAUACUUUAAGGGCUAGGGUUAAAUUUAUAUUGACAAUUCCAGUAUCGGAUGCCCCCAGGCUUUUGUUAAUAAUGAUAUCUAAGUCAAAUAUAUAUAUUGAUGAAUGGCUUAACUACCUGAGCUUUUAUUGUUGCUUGCAGAUCAUAUAUUGAAGCAGAUCCUACCUCCUGGAGUGGAGAUCCCUUCGUCUUUUGAAACAAUAGCUAAGUAUUCAAUUUAUGUUGUAUUCAUCUUGGACUUUCCAUUUUCCUGCAAUUUCCUCUAAAGUCUUGCAAGUUCUUAUAUAUUAUUAAUUGUAGUUUCAUGAUUACUUGCGUGAUGGCCAUCACUGAUGGUAGAUUUAUCUGAUGAAUGAAGUAUUGUUCCUUAUACCUGCAGGUCACAUUGCACAUUUGAACAUACAUGAUGAACUGCUUCCAUACAAGGAUGUCAUUUCUAAAGUUAUUUAUGAUAAAAAUUAUCCCAGGAUCAGAACAAUUGUUAAUAAAGUUGGAACAAUUACAAAUGAGUUUCGAGUGCCGAAGUUUGAAAUUUUGGCAGGAGAAAAUGAUAUGGUCACAGAAGUGAAGCAAUAUGGGGCAACAUUCAAGCUUGACUAUAGCUUGGUUUACUGGAAUUCAAGGUUGGAACAUGAGCAUAUAAGGCUAGUUUCUCAAUUCCAACCAGGGGAGACAAUUUGUGACAUGUUUGCUGGCAUUGGUCCUUUUGCGAUUCCGGCAGCGCAGAAAGGAUGUGUUGUUUAUGCAAAUGAUUUGAAUCCACACAGUUUUCAAUAUCUGAGGAUUAAUGCAAAACUCAACAAAGUUGAUGAUCGCAUUUAUGCAUACAACAUGGAUGCCAGGAAAUUUAUUUCCCAACUGAUGGCAGCACCAAUUUGUCAAGAUAAUUUAGAAUCUGAUGCAUCCACUCUUAAUGCAUGUGGUAAUCAAAGGGUACAGACCAAUGAGGGAACUCAGGUGGCAAGUGAUACUGUUGAAACUGAUCAUGAGGAUGCCCAAGAUUCAUGCUGGCAGGCUGAUGCAUCUGUAGCUACAGUCAAAAGGCCUUCAUAUUGUUUACAGGAAGAAAGUGAAGACACCCAUGGUGCUGCUAUUUCCUUCACUUCUAAGAGAAAAGGAAGUGCAAAUAAGAGAAUGAGAGCCUCUGAGUCGCCCAAUACUAAGCCUUGGGAGCAUGUUGAUCAUGUGAUAAUGAACCUUCCUGCAUCUGCUUUACAAUUUUUAGGUACAAUUUAUAUUCUUCUGGCUACUCUUUCUCAUUCGUGGAUACUCUUUAUGUAUAUGGCUAGCAGUUUGUGGUUAUGUAGCACCAGUUACAUCAUUUGCCUCCUUACUUGUGCCUUUUCCUCCCUUUGAACUGUUUUCUUUUUGGAAAUUCUGUUCACCUUUAACUGAUUUAGGACAGGCCAAAAUAAUUCUUUUAGUUGCAGGUUUGUACAUUUCUUUAGUGGACAUCAUUUGGUCUCUGUUCAUUCUAGAAUAUGAAUUUCCUACUAUGUGAUUUUUGGGGCAUAUUUCAAUUCAAUUUCAAAAUGCUUUUCUCUGUUUAUCAUCAAUGCUAUUGGUACUUGUUCCAUUCAUUGAGGGGGUUUUCGUGCUGAUCUCAUAUCUUCUUUAAUCACGUCUCUUGGCUGCACAGAUGGUGAUUAAUCCUAUUCUUGCUGAGGAAAAGUUGGGCAAAGAUCUUUUUCAGUGUUUCUAUGUUGACCGUGUAUCGUAAUUGCUUUGUCUAGACAUUUUCCAUCACUGCUCAAAUCUGUUCUGUUACUAUGAAUAUUUAACUGAAAAAAAUAAAAUAAUUUGUUUCUUUUUCUCCCCUCUCAGAUGCGUUUCGGAGUGUUAUCCAGAGGAAAGAUUGGAAGGGGCUUCUUCCUUGGAUUCACUGCUAUUGCUUCAUGAGGGCAAACGAAACCAAAGAAUCUAUAAUCUUGGAGGCAGAAACUGCUGUAACUGCUCAUAUACAAGACCCGGUAUUUCACAGGGUUAGGGACGUUGCUCCAAAUAAGGCAAUGUUUUGCUUAAGCUUUAGGCUACCAGAAGCAUGCUUUAAAGAUAAUGGUGCUAACCUUCAUUCUGCAAAUGGAAAUACAUGAUCAUUCUUUGCUUCGAAAGAUGAUGCUGCCAACUUUUACAACUCAAUAUUUAGGAUUGUGAUGGACUUCGUCCCUUGUACUCUAAUACAUUAACAGAAACAUAAAGGAAAAUUUUAACAGCAGAGACGAACUUUGGAUUCAAAAACUAAUAUUUCAAGGAAAACUAGUAUAAAAUGCGUAAUUCAUUUUCUUUACAAUUUUAUACUGUUGUCAAUGCAAUGACGUACAUUCACUUCUAAUGGUCAAGAACUCAGUUAUUUGUUAUGAUUAAUGUCCCG
This 3616-nucleotide unclassified non-coding RNA is filed under the name Hevea brasiliensis (rubber tree). The record is from RNAcentral. Lineage: Eukaryota; Viridiplantae; Streptophyta; Magnoliopsida; Malpighiales; Euphorbiaceae.